GUUCAGUUGGUACAUGCUGAAACAUUUCAGAGCCUGUUAAUGAAAAUUCUCAGGGCACAUAGUUCAUGGACUAAUGACCUUGAAGCUAGUCCUUUGUUUUUAUAGGUCAGACCAAGAUAGUAUGCAUUUCUGAGUUUCACCUACAGAAACUCUACCUCUACAGACAGGGACCUUUAUUCUCCCUUCUCCUUUUCCUUUCCUUGUGGCUGCUCCAGGAAUGUGCUGCCUAAGAAAGUUCUAUGAGGAGAACUUCCUGAUGAAACUUUCCUUACGUCAGGGGCCCUGCGGUUUCAGGACAGUCCAGUAAGUAAACACUGCAUCAGUGGUGUGUCUUGCUUGCACUGUGCUGACCCACUUCCACACAUCUUCCUGUCAUCACGGCAGGUUUUCAUUGUAAUGACAAAUAAGGAUCUGUGCUAGGAGAAGUUCUGGAUUCUGGGUAUGACCAUAACUGUGUAACCUAACAUACUAUUUUUAUCAUUGCAUUUGUACCUAUGAUCCUUCUAAGAGGUGUCAAAUUCAGCAGCCAGGGAAACAUUCAGGUGUCCAUUAUAAAGGGAAGAGGAUGCAUAUAGACUCUUGUUCCCUGGGACCCCAAAUGGCUAAAAUAAUCCAUUUCUCCACACCAAAGGAGCACAGAACAGAAAUGUGUGCCUCUUUCUAAAACCCUCGUCUUGCCAAGAGAAACUUUUCCUAAUAUUCUGGAAUUCUCUGAGCCUUGUUUGUCCUUGUAUGAUUCUAUGAAUUGACACCCGCUGGUGUUCCAGGCCUGAUGCUGCUUCGAUUUCUAAGAAGAAAAUAAAAUUAUAAAUAUGAAUUUCUGGGGCACAGGAGAAUAAGGGGUCUUAAAAUAUAAGCCUAACUUGCUUCAUGGUAAGUCUGCCUCUGGGCUUCCAUGGAGAUCAUCUUCCUCUUUAAGACUGAAAUAUUAUAAUAAUCUUAGUUUGUCCUGAUAUUGGCAGGUUCUUUAACUCCCAGUCCUCUUUCCACUCCAGCACUCGAGCUGUUAUGAUUUUCAGCUUUAUCACUUUACAAAUAACAGCUUUAUUGAGGCAAUUCACAUAUAAAAAACCUCAACCUUUUAAGUGUACAAGUCAGUGGUUUUUAGUAUAUUCAGAGCUGUGCCAUUGUAACUAUCAUUCCUUCCCACAGACUCUGUAUCCAUUAACGAUCACUCCCAUCACCCUCUUCCCCAGCUGUUGGCAUCCACUAGUUUACUUUCUGUCUCUAUGGAUUUGUCUGUUCUGGACACUUCCUAUAAAUAGAAUCAAUUGUAAAGGGCCUUUUGUGCUUGACUUCUUUCACACGGCAUAACCUCUGCAGGUGCAUCCAUGCAUCAGUACUUCACACUUAUGGCACAUCAUAGUCCACUGUAUGAAUACCCCACUGUAUGAAUAUUUUCUUUAUCCAUUCAUCAGUUGAUGGGCAUUUUGAUUAUUUCUACUUUUUGGUUAUUAUGAAUGGUGCUAUGAGCAUUCAUGUACAGUAGCUAUAUUAUUUUAAACUCUAAUGUACUUUGAUUUAGAGGUUGCUGGUUGGUACCAGCAUUUAUUUAUGGAUAUAAAAUGAGUAAAUACAUGAGGAAACUCCUUAAAAAUAAUUUACACCAAAGAGAUAUUAGUAUUCCAAGCUAUACGUACAUACAUUUAAAAAAACUUUUUAAGCACCUACAUCUAUGUGCCAGUCAUUUUAAUAAGUGUUGGGAAUAUAGUUUACAUGACAGUAUCCUGCUUUAGGAUUUUAGAACCCAGUGUAUUGAAAUACCAUACAAGCUUUUAAAAUAAUGGCUUUUUUCCACAAUUCAUUUUAUUCACUCACUGAACUCUAUUUGUUCCUGAAUAUUUGUAGCACUUACAGUUUUACGGACAAUGGGCUAACCACUUUAAAUUCCUUCCCACCUCUCUAGGUAGAUAUGACCAAAUUUGCAUUUUACAGGUGACAAACUGAGGUUUAGAGAUGUUAAGGAACUCAAUCAAGAUUACAUAGCCAGUUAGCAGCAGAACCUGGGCUAGGGCUUAAAUCUCUCUGAUGCAUAACCAAUAUUCUUAACAACUGGUUAAUAGAACUAUCUAGAAAUCUGUCCUUUUUUUUUCCAGAAUACAAUUGCAUUCUUAGAUUUCAUGAUUGCUGACAUUUUCAUUUGAUGAAGAAGAACCUAGUGCAAUAUUAAAGCUGCAGUUUAUUCAGUUGGCAAUCAUAGGCAACUAUAUACUCUCUCUAAUCAGUAUAUAGAAGCCAAAAACUCAGUCACCAUCCUUCAUAUUCAGGAACCAUGAAGUUGCCCAUAUGCUCUCUGACUGAAUAGCCUGGCUAUUCUAGGAGCCAUAGCUGAGUCUCAGUGGCUGUUCUCAGGAGAAUAUAUAAUUUGCCAUGGAAAUAGGAACUAUAGUUUCCAAAUACAAACAAAAAUACUUGAUAUGGCAAAUAUGUCUACUCAUUGAGCGUUUAUAACACAGCAUUUCUGUUCUUUGGUGUAUUUCUCACUAAAACAAGUUCUUUUUCACACAGUUAGUAAAUACAGGUAUUAGGUCAAUAUGAUGUAGAAGUUUCGCUGAUUCUCUAUGAUUUUUCAAUUGCUUUAUUUAUUUGCAUCAAAGCCAGAGAACUAUCAGGGGCAAGUUUCUUACUAUAAAAAAAGCCUCAACUCUACUUCCUUGUUAGCAGAGUCUGUUUUAUUGGCAUCAGGAAUUUCUAGGGUUUUCAAAGUAAAGCUACCCGGUGAAGCCGUGAGGAGAAAGACUGUGGGAUUAUCUGAUUUAUGAAGAAAAACAUUUGAAAUUUUGAUGAACCUUAUUGGAAAUACGUGUUCUCUAUAUUUAGAGAGGUGAAACAUAAGUCCUGAUAUGUAAGGCUGCAAAGCGUUUAUUGACUAUGAUGCAAAGAACAAAUGCCUAGUAUUUUAAAUAGGAUUUCUAUUGUUUUUAUAAUGAUUUGGCUCCACAUUUGUAUAUUUUUAGGGUUUUCCCUUUCCCAAAUGUCACCAAAAUUAACGUGUGGUUUGAAAGAGAAGGGGGUAUUUCAGAAAUAUAUGUAUUGAGGUAUAAUAGAAAUUCCUGUUAGGAAUUCUUAGGCAUUGAGUAGAAUUUUCUCAAUUUAUUUUUGUUUAUAUAUAUACACACACACACACACACACACACAAUGUGUGUACACAUUAUACACGUAUGUUUUUUCCUGCUGUUAUUUAACAUGGCAUAUACUCCUAAUAGAAUGUGUGAUUCAGGAAACAUUAUGUGAAAUCACUCAUUAACAACAGAGUAUUUCUCAUGUAACUUUAACUGGGUUCCAUGCAAGGUUGGAACAGAGUGAGACUAAAGGCUUUUGCCUUCCUGUUACAGAGCCAAGACCCCAUGAUGACUUUUUACCUUCAAUCUCUCAGGAGAAAAGGAGGCAUGUAUGAGACCAAAAGAUGCAUAACUGUUCUCCCCUGUAUCUGCCAUUGUUCAUAAUAAAUUGUAUUCUAUGAAAGUCUCACCUUUUAAAAAAGAAUUAACUGCACACGAUUCAAUUUUAGCAUUGUUUAGUUCUAGUCUGAUAAAUUAUAAUUAGACAACCUAGUUGCCCAAGAGUCCAGCAUUUCCCACCUACACAGGAAGCAUGUGGCAUAACACAGGCAAACUUGUCCCAACCUGCUGACACUAUUUCCUGUACGGGGGCAGAGGCAUCACCCAGCCCAGAAACUCUGACUGAACUUCUUGAGCACCAACUGCAGAGUGAAAAUCUGGAUUUGAGAUAGAACAGAGGACAUUUCAUUCAAGGGAAGAGCUGCCAACAUGCCGAUCGCCAGUGUGUUGAGGGCAGUCUUAGCUUUUGGCUGUCUCAGUAAGGAUGGAUCCAGCAUGUCCCAGAAGGUAGCUCAAGCCCAGCCUGCCAUUUCUGUGCUGGAGAAGGAGGAUGUAACCUUGGACUGUGCCUAUGAAGCUAGUAGUUAUACUUAUAAUUUAUUCUGGUACAAACAAACACCAAGUGGGGAAAUGAUUUUCCUUAUUGGUCAGGAGUCUUACAAUGAGCAGAAUGCAACACAGAGCCAGUAUUUUCUGAACUUCCAGAAACCAGCCAGCUCCAUCAGCCUCACCAUCACAGCCUCACAGCUCAGUGACUCAGCAGCGUGUUUCUGUGCCCUGGAAGAGGCCACAGUGAAGUGGGUGCCUGUAGGAGCCUUACUAAUCCUCAGCAUGAGAGGGCCCUGA
This is a non-coding RNA of Manis javanica (Malayan pangolin), 4187 nucleotides long. NCBI's taxonomy places the organism in Eukaryota, Metazoa, Chordata, Mammalia, Pholidota, Manidae. The record is from the annotation of a RefSeq genome assembly.